GUGACACACACACACUAAGUAUGAAACAAUACAGAGAAGAUUAGCAUGGCUUCUACAAAUGGAUAACACACAAAUUCAGGAACAUUUCAUACUUUGU
Molecule: small nuclear RNA, 97 nt
Organism: Rattus norvegicus (Norway rat)
Lineage: Eukaryota; Metazoa; Chordata; Mammalia; Rodentia; Muridae
Source: Ensembl